UUUUGGACAAUGGGCGAAAGCCUGAUCCAGCAAUGCCGCGUGCAGGAAGAAGGCCUUCGGGUUGUAAACUGCUUUUGUCCCCACCCCAACGGCCUUUUCUAAUAAAGAGGGCUAAUGACGGUACCGUAAGAAUAAGCACCGGCUAACUACGUGCCAGCAGCCGCGGUAAUACGUAGGGUGCGAGCGUUAAUCGGAAUUACUGGGCGUAAAGCGUGCGCAGGCGGUUCUAUAAGACAGAUGUGAAAUCCCCGGGCUCAACCUGGGAAUGGCAUUUGUGACUGUAGAGCUAGAGUACGGUAGAGGGGGAUGGAAUUCCGCGUGUAGCAGUGAAAUGCGUAGAUAUGCGGAGGAACACCGAUGGCGAAGGCAAUCCCCGGACCUGUACUGACGCUCAUGCACGAAA
RNAcentral lists this ribosomal RNA (403 nucleotides) under uncultured bacterium. RNAcentral describes it as "bacterial SSU rRNA". It matches the Rfam family "Bacterial small subunit ribosomal RNA", at positions 362 to 758 of the family's 1533-position model. The record is from RNAcentral.